This 1488-nucleotide long non-coding RNA is filed under the name Piliocolobus tephrosceles (Ugandan red Colobus). RNAcentral describes it as "lncRNA (ENSPTEG00000011266.1)". The record is from RNAcentral. Lineage: Eukaryota; Metazoa; Chordata; Mammalia; Primates; Cercopithecidae.
AGUAAAAAUAAAACAGUAAAAAUAAAAAAGUUAAAAAAAAAAAAAAAUAGUUAAGUAAAUACAUUUUAAUAUUAUCAUUAUUAUAUAAUUUUUUUAAAGAGCAUUUAUAUUUGACUCUCUUUUAAUUCUGUAAUAUACGUUUUUUUUAUAUUCAUACAAAAAAAAAAAAACAAAAACAAAAACAAAACAGGAACGAGUCAAUACAAAUGCAUAAGCAAAUAAAUAAAUAUAUAACUGGAUACGUAGUUUUUUUAUUUUUAUUUUUUUUUUAUAUGAUGGAGAAAGUUUUAUUUCUUGCUAAUUGUGUUAAACUAUUUCGUUAUAAUUUAUAACUUUUAUUUUUAAUCAUUUUUUUUUGGUUUUUAUAAAAAUAUAAAUUAGAAAAAAUAUUAAUAAAACAAAUUUGAAAGGAGAGUAACAUAUAAAGAAAAAAAAAUAUAUAUAUAUAUAUAUAUUAAUAUUGCCAAAUAUCAUUGUCUAUAUAGAAGAAUAGUAAAAAUGGAUAAUAAAAAGAUAAACAUGACAGAACACCAAUGGAGGCUAUUUGAAUACAACAUGAGUAAAUGGAUGAUAGACAAUAAAUACAUUUUAGAUAGUGAAGAAAAAAAAAAUUUUAUAAAUGUGCAAAUUAUAGUAUAGGUUUAGGUGCACUAAAUGGGUCAUUAGUAUAUUUUUUAUGCAAAAAAAAAUGAAAAGUAUUUUAAACCUAUGUCGAGAUUUUUUUUAACCUUUUCAUUGGGUAUAUAUACAUCUAUGUUUGUUAAUAAAAUAUUCAGACGUAAAGCAUAUACAGAAAUAUUAACUGAGAAAACUACAAUGACCGACAAAGCAAAAGAAGUUAUGAACGAUAUAUUGAACAUUAAUGAUAAGAUAAAACCUCCUAAAGAUGUGGAAAAAAAAAGCGAAGAAAAUAUUAAUACAGAAUUAAACAAAAAUGAAUUUAAUUUAUUAAACAAUGAAAAUAAGCAAGUUAUAACUGAUUCUAAAAUAGAUAAUACUAAUUAUGUUCCCGAAAUUCAUGAUUUAAACGAAGCUGUUAUGAAAGAAUUGGAUGACCCAGAAAGGUAUGCGACUAUUAAAUACAGCAUUUUACAUAUAUUUUUGGUAAUUAUAGUUGUAUCUGUUUUUGUAAUUAUAUAUAUACAUAUAUAUAUACAACUUAUUUAAAUAUAAUUUAUGAAAAAUGUUAUAUUUGUAGAUGUAGAGAUGUGGCAAUUUGCACAGAUGAAAAUAUAAAAAAAUGAUAAAAACAUUAGAAAAAUAUUCUUAACAAGUUUAUAAUAUUUUGAAACAUACAUAUAAAUGUAGAUAAACACAUAUAUAUAUAUAUUAUAUACGUAUACAUAUAUAUGUGUGUGUAUUAUUGUAACUAUAAAAAAAUUAAAUACGAGCCAAAUAUAUUAUAAAAAAAAUGCAUCGAUGUAGUGCAAAUCGAAUGCAAAAACGAAUGAGCAAAUGAUUUCAGUUAAAAAUGCUAUUUAACACAAA